CGGGAUGUAGCGCAGCUUGGUAGCGCGCUGCUUUGGGAGCAGGAUGCCGCAGGUUCGAAUCCUGUCAUCCCGA
This 73-nucleotide transfer RNA is filed under the name Aphanizomenon flos-aquae 2012/KM1/D3. Its description in RNAcentral is "tRNA-Pro". It matches the Rfam family "tRNA". Rfam says of the family: Transfer RNA (tRNA) molecules are approximately 80 nucleotides in length. Their secondary structure includes four short double-helical elements and three loops (D, anti-codon, and T loops). Lineage: Bacteria; Bacillati; Cyanobacteriota; Cyanophyceae; Nostocales; Aphanizomenonaceae. The record is from RNAcentral.